CCUACGGGAGGCAGCAGUAAGGAAUAUUGGUCAAUGGAGGCAACUCUGAACCAGCCAUGCCGCGUGCAGGAAGAAGGCCCUAUGGGUCGUAAACUGCUUUUGUACCAGAGAAAACCCGAGUACGUGUACUCGGUUGAUAGUAUGGUAAGAAUAAGCAUCGGCUAACUUCGUGCCAGCAGCCGCGGUAAGACGAAGGAUGCAAGCGUUAUCCGGAUUCAUUGGGUUUAAAGGGUGCGUAGGCGGACUGAUAAGUCAGUGGUGAAAUCUCUCGGCUUAACCGAGAAACUGCCAUUGAUACUGUUAGUCUAGAGUAUAGAUGACGUUGGCGGAAUAUGACAUGUAGUGGUGAAAUACUUAGAUAUGUCAUAGAACACCGAUUGCGAAGGCAGCUAACGAAACUAUAACUGACGCUGAGGCACGAAAGUGCGGGGAUCAAACAGGAUUAGAUACCCUGGUAGUCCGCACCGUAAACGAUGAUUACUCGUUGUUGGCAAUAUGACCGUCAGCGACCAAGCGAAAGCGAUAAGUAAUCCACCUGGGGAGUACGCCGGCAACGGUGAAACUCAAAGGAAUUGACGGCUGAGAGNGCGACGACGACGACGAGGGAGGAGG
This 612-nucleotide ribosomal RNA is filed under the name uncultured bacterium. RNAcentral describes it as "bacterial SSU rRNA". It matches the Rfam family "Bacterial small subunit ribosomal RNA", at positions 338 to 951 of the family's 1533-position model. The record is from RNAcentral.